Molecule: long non-coding RNA, 270 nt
Filed under: Linum usitatissimum (flax)
Lineage: Eukaryota; Viridiplantae; Streptophyta; Magnoliopsida; Malpighiales; Linaceae
Description: long non-coding RNA (LUSI_LNC001529)
Source: RNAcentral
GGUAGAGUGCACCUAAAUGUGUGUUUCUAUUGGUUUAAUGAUGGGAUGCUAGUGUGGAGAGAUUUGACACAUCUUCGAACUAUUAGGGGUUGAAGUUAGUGAUGAUUAUCAGAUUAUGCAUCGAAUGUCCAUCUAGAAUUUAUCUUAAAUGUGGGUGUUGGUACGAUAUUAACUAUUUUAUGACCUUUCAUGUUCAUCAUCACCUUGUCUAUGACUUUUACCCAUGCUGUAUCUGUAAGGCUGUUUGUCAUUCCUUCGUUUAUGUUCCCA